UGGAGGUGGGGGGUGCGUAGGUGAUGUGAUUUACAGCCCUUGUUUACCAGAGAUGUGAUUAGCGAUAAAAAAGAUAGGAUGGAAUGGGAUAAGAGAUAGGAUGGGACAGCGGAUUAGACAGAUAUGAGAUAGAGAGGUGCAGUUUUGAAGACAAAUGAAGAUGCCCAAAGGAAUUUGGUGCUUAUUGUGUACUAAGGGCGCCCCUUAACGCCAAGAGACAGGGUCCCACGG
Molecule: long non-coding RNA, 231 nt
Organism: Fukomys damarensis (Damara mole-rat)
Lineage: Eukaryota; Metazoa; Chordata; Mammalia; Rodentia; Bathyergidae
Exons: 3
Source: RefSeq, a predicted model, not a curated record